UCUGGAAGCGUCAGAAACCAACUCGUUUGGAAAUGAAUUGUACAGUGUAACAUUUCAAAAGAAGGGAGAAUACCCACUGUUUGGCUGUCAAUAUGACUUCAACUUGGAAGGAGUCGUUAACGUCCCUGAAUUCCUUGUUUAUUUUCCACUGUUUGAAGAGAUGGCUAAAAAGCACAAGAUGAAGCUCGUCUUCAGAAAAACUUUUGCGGAGUUUUUCAAAGAGAAGGUCCAGAAUUCAGAACAUAAAAUGCUGUUGAAGAAAAUGAAGUCAUUAGAGUAUGCCAUGUCCUCUUUGGUUCACUGUUGGCCUUUGGGAAAGGAAUUCUGCCAUCGUUGUCAAAACAGCUGAUGGGUGCUCCAGACUCUCAGCAGUCUGGUUGAUUGAUUGUUAACUUCCUCCAUUCAGUUGUACUAAUCGUUUUAAGUGGAAAUGGUAAGGAUGAAAGGAAAUGGGAAUGUGUGUGUGGUUUGUGGAUGUAUAAUAUGAAACUUUAAUGAAGAUAUGCUGCUGCAGAGAGAUUUGCAAAGCACCUACAGAAUUUAAUUGGACAGCAGUGUUGAUUAAACAGGCUUAGCAAGCACCAUGGAUUGCACUUUACAGUGCACGGACAACCAGAAACUUUUAAACAACUGUCAGUGCACGAACAACCAAAAACUUUUAAACAACUGUCAGUUUUUAACUUGUGACUUAAAAUCACAAGAAGAUUUUAAAAGGGAGGGUAAGAAAACAAAUUUACAAUGCAAGUGCUUCAAGAUGAGAAGAGGUGCAGCCAUCGCGAAUUGUAUACAGACAAGUCCCCAGUGGUGCAAUUCUAAGUUUCUCUUGAGAAUAAAUACAGGAGACAAUUCCCUGAUCAAGGAGUAAUGUCACCUUGUUCAUUAACAUAUGGAGUAAUAGUGGGCCAAUGUAGGAAUACCCUGAUCUGUGGAUAUUCUCCGUCAGUGAUAUCUGUAUGUCAUAAGAUACACCAAAAUUCAGGGAUUUUUGGUAGAAGGGGCUAUUGACAAGGGGGGGGAAAAGACGUGAAAAGUUCCAUGUCCUCCCAGUCAUA
Long non-coding RNA from Rhincodon typus (whale shark), 1052 nucleotides. RefSeq lists it as uncharacterized. The record is from RefSeq and is a predicted model, not a curated record. NCBI's taxonomy places the organism in Eukaryota, Metazoa, Chordata, Chondrichthyes, Orectolobiformes, Rhincodontidae. The transcript has 3 exons.